ACCUGGCUGGCUCAGUUGGAAAAGUAUGUGACUCAUGAUCUCAGGGCUCAUGAGUUCAAGCCCCAUGCUGGGUG
Molecule: transfer RNA, 74 nt
Filed under: Felis catus (domestic cat)
Lineage: Eukaryota; Metazoa; Chordata; Mammalia; Carnivora; Felidae
Rfam family: tRNA
About the family: Transfer RNA (tRNA) molecules are approximately 80 nucleotides in length.
Source: Rfam by way of RNAcentral